GAAAUGCGAUAAGUAAUGUGAAUUGCAGAAUUUUGUGAAUCAUCGAAUCUUUGAACGCACAUUGCACUCCCUGGUAUUCCGGGGAGUACGUCUGUUCGAGCGUCAUUACACCAAUCAAGCCUCGCUUGGUAUUGGAGGAUGUGAUUUUCCUUACUCGAAGAUUGCACCUCUCGAAUUCUUUUCGGCUGGUCAAUAAAUCUUACCUACAGCGUUGUGGAAACAUAUCUCGCUUUACUGGUCUGAUUGAUUGAAACGCCGUUAAACAAUCUCCAUACUCAAGGUUGACCUCGGAUCAGAUGAGAAUACCCGCUGAACUUAA
Molecule: unclassified non-coding RNA, 319 nt
Filed under: uncultured fungus
Lineage: Eukaryota; Fungi
Description: sequence contains ITS1
Rfam family: 5.8S ribosomal RNA (bases 1-105)
Source: RNAcentral